Uloborus diversus is the source of this 912-nucleotide long non-coding RNA. RefSeq lists it as uncharacterized. The transcript has 6 exons. NCBI's taxonomy places the organism in Eukaryota, Metazoa, Arthropoda, Arachnida, Araneae, Uloboridae. The record is from RefSeq and is a predicted model, not a curated record.
AUUGGAAGUCGUAUUGUAGCUACGUAUCAAUUCGUAUAUAUAAUUCAAUGUUACUUAUUUAAUAAAAAUAUCGACGAGUUCAUGAUAGUUUGAACCGAUACAGCCACUACAAAGUCUCUAGAGAUAUUUCAAGAUUUCUCUCCUCAGUCAUGGAUUAAAGAACAGAAAUUCACUACAUAAUUGCCACAAUAGUCGGAGCUUUCCCGAGUCUUGCUGUGCUAUACUCUCCUGUUUGAACAGAUAUUUGACCAUAAAAAAAUAAAACUGCUUCUUGUAAUUUCCUGCAACAGUCAGAUAUCUCUACUAGAGGAAUCUACUGCUGUGAAUACUUGUAAAGAGGUCUCACACUCAAGAAAGGUGACUUUGUGUGUGUGUGUGACUGAACUUCAAGGCAUUUGAGGUACCCCUAGAAAUUGUCCAAUUGAAGGGAAAUUUUGCACAGGCUGUUCUUUUGUCCAUUGGAACAAAAUAAGAGGUUUAUAGUUCUGCAAGAGAUUUUGAAUCUUUUGGCCAAGCUUAAAAAGACGGCAAAAAGCUGAAAAGAGAAGCGAAGUUGCUACAGGAAAAGGUGGAGAUGAAUGUGAUGUCCAAGAAAGCUCCCAAGUUGCAGCUGCAAUUGGCGAUAUUAAUGCUGCAGAACAUGAAUUUGUUUUGUGUCUGUCAAGCAUUAAUGGUUUGAUGCAGUUAAAAGUGAUGCAUUCCUAGUGUAAAAAUUAAGUACUAACAAGCAGAGACUAAUUCCAUUAGCCAUCAAGUCAGUAAAGUGCUAGCUGGUGCUGCUGAUUGGAACUUGCAUCGUUCUAGAAAAAUCGAAAAAGGAUACUAGACUUGCAAAUCCGAAUAAGAAGAAGAAAAUGUAUAGAUGCAAAAAAAAAUGUAUAAAACUUUUUUAUUCAUAAUAAAUUUGUAAAU